AGGAAAUGGCAGAGCAUCUCAGAGCCAUCUCAUGAAGUCAGACUUUGAUUAUCUAUAAGAUAGGUAAUUGGAGUGACUCAUUCCAGUGUUUACUGUCCAUAUUGACUAUUUCAUUGACAAGAGAUUGAAAUUCGUUCAACAUUUGGAUGUUGAUUUCCACUGUUAACAUAGAGAAAUAACAACCAGCCUGGGUCGAAUCCCACUGGCUUCGUUUAAGCACUUUAUGGGUAUUAACUCAUGUUAAUACACUGCAGAGUAUGAAGUGUUUUGAGCUGAUUGCAGAUGAGGAAACUGAGCCACGCUGUUGGGUGAUUCUGAAGAGGACAUGGAGGAGCAUUCUCAAGAACAGAG
This 351-nucleotide long non-coding RNA is filed under the name Sus scrofa (pig). RNAcentral describes it as "lncRNA (ENSSSCG00015008302.1)". The record is from RNAcentral. Lineage: Eukaryota; Metazoa; Chordata; Mammalia; Artiodactyla; Suidae.